AACCUUAUAGUCAAAUUUUGAUGUCAGACUGCAAUUCUGGAGGUGUAGGGUUAACCCUUCUAAGGUUU
This 68-nucleotide transfer RNA is filed under the name Pseudorhynchus crassiceps. RNAcentral's name for it is "tRNA-Cys". It matches the Rfam family "tRNA". From Rfam's summary of the family: Transfer RNA (tRNA) molecules are approximately 80 nucleotides in length. The record is from RNAcentral. Lineage: Eukaryota; Metazoa; Arthropoda; Insecta; Orthoptera; Tettigoniidae.